AUGACAAUGUUUUCAGUGAAAAUUAGAGGAGAAAUAUCUUCCUUGAGAAGAGGGACAGACAUGGCCAAAGCCAGCAUAGAUUCAGUGGCCAUAUCUGGAACCACAGCCAUGGCUCAGACCACUGAAUCCACCAUGGCCACAGCCACAGACACCAUAGACUCUGUGACCGUAUCUGGAACCACAGCAAUGGCUCAGACCACUGAAUCCACAAUGGCCACAGCCACAGACACCAUAGACUCUGUGGCCGUAUCUGGAACCACAGCAAUGGCUCAGACCACUGAAUCCACCAUGGCCACAGCCACAGACACCAUAGACUCUGUGACCAUAUCUGGAACCACAGCCAUGGCUGUGACCACUGAAUCCUCUAUGGCCAUAGCCACAGCCACCAUAGUGGUUUCCGUAGUAGUGGCACAUUGUGUCAGGAGUUGAGGAUUUGGUGGGAGGUUGAAGGUGAAUUUCCUGAGAAUGAAUAGCACCUCUUACAACCAGACUUUUAUACUCCCUCAGUGUGAGUGUGGUCAACCACAACAAAGAAAUGUCACUGUCUUUGAAAAGUCACCUUAAUGAAAAGUGGUACUAUUGGGACAUAGUUUUGUUAUUAUUAAGGAUACAACCAAAAAUGCAUGAAGCAUUGUUUCUUUGAAUUUACCUUAAUGUUCAUACCUCAGAACCAGACUUGGUAUCAAAUAGGUAAGCUUGUAUUUCCACAGUGUUCUAAAUCUACAUCCUAGGAUCAAGAAGCCUACAUCUAUAAGCUGAGAUUUCCUUACAAUUAUCAACAGAAUUUUUUGUCCUCCAAAUACAGCUAGUGUUUUCCUGAAAGAUGAUAUUUUCGCCAUUUAUGAAACAAAAACUAAAAUGCAUGUCAAAUGAUCAAAACGACUACAAUUCAUGGAAGGCCAUGAGAUUGAUUAAUCAGAGAGAACUCCUGGACAAGCAUGCUGUUUUUCUGCAUUGUUGCAGAUCAGGGUGAAAACUGUUUAAGCAGUUUCCUGUUUGUGGGGAUGACAUUCAAGUCUUGUGAUCAGAUUAUUGAAGUCUACCUUGUAUAGGUGUUUUCUGAUUACAACAUAUAUCACGUGCUUCCUAUACACACAAGAGGUCUCUCAAGUUUUUCUGCAAAUGUCAUUUUUCUUUGUCUCUCAAAGCUUUUUCUCAAUCUUAUUCAUUCUGUAAUAAUUUCUUCUAGGAGCUUCCUUCAAGCACUGCAUUCC
Molecule: long non-coding RNA, 1214 nt
Filed under: Oryctolagus cuniculus (rabbit)
Lineage: Eukaryota; Metazoa; Chordata; Mammalia; Lagomorpha; Leporidae
Description: lncRNA (ENSOCUG00000037964.1)
Source: RNAcentral